This 692-nucleotide small RNA is filed under the name Pongo abelii (Sumatran orangutan). RNAcentral's name for it is "processed transcript". Lineage: Eukaryota; Metazoa; Chordata; Mammalia; Primates; Hominidae. The record is from RNAcentral.
UUAUGCCCCAGAGGAUGUGUACAGGUUCCUGCCGACUAGUGUGGGGGAAUCACGGACACUUAAAGUCAAUCUGCGAAAUAAUUCUUUUAUUACACACUCACUGAAGUUUUUGAGUCCCAGAGAGCCAUUCUAUGUCAAACAUUCCAAGUACUCUUUGAGCAUCCAAGAAAUUAUAAAUACAUUUAAGCUGAAUGUGGCUUGACCGAGCUCUUUCCUCAACACCUGAGCCAGGCACUGUGCUGCCUGGGACAGGGUCGCGGGUGCUGUCAUGACAUGCCACUGUCAUGUGCCUCUCUCUUUCUAGAGCCCAGCAUUACAUCAACAUGCCCGUGCAGUUCAAACCGAAGUCCGCAGGCAAAUUUGAAGCUUUGCUUGUCAUUCAAACAGAUGAAGGCAAGAGUAUUGCUAUUCGACUAAUUGGUGAAGCUCUUGGAAAAAAUUAACUAAAAUACAUUUUUGUGUAAAUUACAUAAGUUGUAUUUUGUUAACUUUAUCUUUCUACACUACAAUUAUGCUUUUGUAUAUAUAUUUUGUAUGAUGGAUAUCUAUAAUUGUAGAUUUUUUUUUACAAGCUAAUACUGAAGACUUGACUGAAAUAUGUAUCUAGCCUACAGUAUUGUACUUAACUUUUACAGGUGAGAAGAGUUCUGUGUUUGCAUUGAUUAUGAUAUUCUGAAUAAAUAUGGAAUAUA